CGUGUAGGCGGUUAUCCAAGUCGGGUGUGAAAGCCUUGAGCUUAACUCAAGAAAUGCACUCGGUACUGGAUGACUAGAGGACCGGAGAGGAUAGUGGAAUUCCCAGUGUAGUGGUGAAAUACGUAGAGAUUGGGAAGAACACCAGUGGCGAAGGCGGCUAUCUGGACGGUUUCUGACGCUAAGACGCGAAAGCGUGGGGAGCAAACA
Molecule: ribosomal RNA, 207 nt
Filed under: uncultured bacterium
Lineage: Bacteria
Description: partial 16S ribosomal RNA
Rfam family: Bacterial small subunit ribosomal RNA
Source: RNAcentral